CGAGUGGCGGACGGGGGAGUAAUGUCUGGGAAACUGCCCGAUGGAGGGGGAUAACUACUGGAAACGGUAGCUAAUACCGCAUAAUGUCUACGGACCAAAGCGGGGGACCUCCGGGCCUCGCGCCAUCAGAUGAACCCAUAUGGGAUUAGCUUGUAGGUAAGGUAACGGCUUACCUAGGCGACGAUCCCUAGUUGGUCUGAGAGGAUGAUCAGCCACACUGGGACUGAGACACGGUCCAG
RNAcentral lists this ribosomal RNA (239 nucleotides) under uncultured bacterium. Its description in RNAcentral is "partial 16S ribosomal RNA". It matches the Rfam family "Bacterial small subunit ribosomal RNA", at positions 92 to 334 of the family's 1533-position model. The record is from RNAcentral.